AAGUCGUAACAAGGUUUCCGUAGGUGAACCUGCGGAAGGAUCAUUAGCAAAUCUGCGUGGUGCGGUCUGGCUUGCUGGACUUGCUCCCACAUUGACUCGGGCCGCCCUCCUGGGGGGGGGGGUCUAGAGACAUUCACGCUUGUAUUGUAUGACUGAGUCAUGGUGAAGAGAAGAAAAAAGACAACUUUUGACAAUGGAUCUCUUGGCUCUU
RNAcentral lists this unclassified non-coding RNA (211 nucleotides) under fungal sp. Its description in RNAcentral is "partial internal transcribed spacer region". The stretch from base 1 to 46 matches the Rfam family "Eukaryotic small subunit ribosomal RNA", at positions 1786 to 1831 of the family's 1831-position model. Lineage: Eukaryota; Fungi. The record is from RNAcentral.